This 75-nucleotide transfer RNA is filed under the name Triticum aestivum (bread wheat). It matches the Rfam family "tRNA". From Rfam's summary of the family: Transfer RNA (tRNA) molecules are approximately 80 nucleotides in length. The record is from Rfam by way of RNAcentral. Lineage: Eukaryota; Viridiplantae; Streptophyta; Magnoliopsida; Poales; Poaceae. RNAcentral also lists the same sequence under 1 other name.
GGGGAUGUAGCUCAAAUUGUUUGAGCGCUUAUGUAUGCUAAUAAGAGGAAGGGGGAUCGAUACCUCCCAUCUCCA